AUUGAACGCUGGCGGCAUGCUUUACACAUGCAAGUCGAACGGCAGCGCGGGCUUCGGCCUGGCGGCGAGUGGCGAACGGGUGAGUAAUACAUCGGAACGUGCCCAGUAGUGGGGGAUAGCUCGGCGAAAGCCGGAUUAAUACCGCAUACGACCUGAGGGUGAAAGCGGGGGAUCUUCGGACCUCGCGCUAUUGGAGCGGCCGAUGGCAGAUUAGCUAGUUGGUGGGGUAAAGGCCUACCAAGGCGACGAUCUGUAGCUGGUCUGAGAGGACGACCAGCCACACUGGGACUGAGACACGGCCCAGACUCCUACGAGAGGCAGCAGUGGGGAAUUUUGGACAAAGGGCGAAAGCCUGAUCCAGCAAUGCCGCGUGUGUGAUGAAGGCCUUCGGGUUGUAAAGCACUUUUGGCGGGAACGAAAAGGACUGUGCCAAUACCACGGUUCGAUGACGGUACCCGCAGAAUAAGCACCGGCUAACUACGUG
RNAcentral lists this ribosomal RNA (484 nucleotides) under uncultured bacterium. RNAcentral's name for it is "partial 16S ribosomal RNA". It matches the Rfam family "Bacterial small subunit ribosomal RNA", at positions 29 to 507 of the family's 1533-position model. The record is from RNAcentral.